AACGGUCAUACCAUGCUGAAUAUACCGGUUCUCGUUAGAUCAACGAAGUCAAGCAUCAUUGGGUGCGGUCAGUACUUGGGUGGGUGACCACCUGGGAACACCGCGGUGCUGUU
Molecule: ribosomal RNA, 113 nt
Filed under: Caerostris darwini
Lineage: Eukaryota; Metazoa; Arthropoda; Arachnida; Araneae; Araneidae
Source: RNAcentral